RNAcentral lists this ribosomal RNA (406 nucleotides) under uncultured bacterium. RNAcentral's name for it is "bacterial SSU rRNA". It matches the Rfam family "Bacterial small subunit ribosomal RNA", at positions 248 to 646 of the family's 1533-position model. The record is from RNAcentral.
GUUGGUGAGGUAAAGGCUUACCAAGGCGAUGAUCGGUAGCUGGUCUGAGAGGAUGAUCAGCCACACUGGGACUGAGACACGGCCCAGACUCCUACGGGAGGCAGCAGUGGGGAAUUUUGGACAAUGGGGGCAACCCUGAUCCAGCCAUUCCGCGUGAGUGAAGAAGGCCUUCGGGUUGUAAAGCUCUUUUGUCCGGAGCGAAACGGGCGGCCCUAAUACGGUCGUCUACUGACGGUACCGGAAGGAUAAGCACCGGCUAACUACGUGCCAGCAGCCGCGGUAAUACGUAGGGUGCGAGCGUUAAUCGGAAUUACUGGGCGUAAAGCGUGCGCAGGCGGUUUUGUAAGCCAGAUGUGAAAUCCCCGGGCUCAACCUGGGAAUGGCAUUUGGGACUGCAAGGCUGGAG